Molecule: long non-coding RNA, 1477 nt
Organism: Cygnus olor (mute swan)
Lineage: Eukaryota; Metazoa; Chordata; Aves; Anseriformes; Anatidae
Exons: 4
Source: RefSeq, a predicted model, not a curated record
GAGCCCCCGCCGCCUGCCCGCCGCCAUCGGCCCGCCGGGCGCCGCCCCGAGCCCGCCUCCGGGGAGGUGCCGCCAAGCCUGAGGCGGCGACCCCAAGGCUGAGGGGACGCCCCUGAAUCUGAGGGGACGCCCCAAAACCUGAGGGGGCCGCUGGAGGAGCGGGGUGGCGGGGUAGGGGGUGGUUGUGCCUCAGUGCUGAGCGCUGGGUAUGUGGGGUGCAUGGGAUUGCCCCGAGCGUGCUAGCAUCAGGAUCUCAGGAGAAAAGUAACUGUGGUGAAAAACAGAUGGAGAGAAAACACUCCAGAUAGACAGAGUGGGAAGAUAACACGGUUUCCAUACACCGGGAAACCAGUAUAUUGUUUUCUACGGAAUGGAGAAAUGCCUCCAAUCCUCCUUGUCACCUUUUUUCCCAAUUCUACUCUGUCUUUUUGAGAAGAGGGGCCCAGACUUUGAAGAUACAGAACCGUUCUGCAAAGGAACCCUGUGAAAUGGCCUCCUUUCUUUUUUGAUCUCUAAAGCAAUAGCCCAUUCUCCUCCACCAGGAAACACCACAAAUUCCUCCUCCUGCCCCAUCAACUUUUUGGAGCUUUCUGAAGCCCAAAGGAGCGUUAGAUAAAAGGAUUAUUUUUUUUCUUUCUGAUUUAGAUGCUGCUUCUGUAUUCUGUGUACCUCCUUUAAUAGAGUAAAGGAGGUUACUCAACACGAGAAGUAAAUUAAACGCUUCCCGAAUCUGGUUUGUCAGCUUUUAUUCAAACAAAAUGCCCAUUGAAUUCAGUUCCUAAGUAGGGGCUGAGGAUUGGGUCUGUUCUCAUGUUACUGACAACAGUGUUUACCUUUCGAGUUCAGUUUACCGAUUAUCAUGUACCAAAAAUGUUUACUUUUUGGCUUUAGACUUUGUCUCUUAGCAGAGCAAGGAAAAACAUCUAAGUUCAAAACAAAAUCUUUUCGAUGGUGAGGAGAACGGCACAGAAGAAUUAUUAUAUUAACUGUUCAUUACAUGUGAGGAAGAUAUUCCUGCCAACUCUGUCUACAUUUUCUUCAGAAAUAUGAGAUAUCAGUUUGAUAGAUGGCCAAAUAAGCAAAAGACAUAAUCUGCUUUAUACCUCCUAAAAUGUCACCUGUUUUUUAUUUCCUUUAGUUUUCUGGCCAUUCUUUUCUAGAAGGAAGGCAAGGAAAAGUACCUAACCUUCUCUUACUCUCCUAGUAUGUAGAGCAUACCAUAACAUCAGAAAGAUUAAUUCUCGCAUGCAUUUCGAUUUUGCUAAUCUGUUAAAUAAUUUAAUAAUACGCAUUGUGUAGUCUCUAGGUGUAACUUAGCAUAAUGAAAGGAAAAGAAAUAAAAACAUGUCUCAAAUGGAAACCUGAGCAGAAAGCUUGAGCUUCAUCCUCUCCUGUGAGGCAGUCAACUUCUUUGUUACAGACAUUCUUAUUUGGAAUACAUAUAUUUGACCGACAGUGGAAACUGUUGUUUCUGCAU